AUGUUGACACAGGAGAUUAAACUUGUCCACUUCUUUUUUAAGUGCAUCUAUUGGCAAAACAUGAGCCCAAGGAAAAAAACAAAGGAGAAGCCAGCACCCUGCCUGGCAUUGCAGACUCUGCGGGGAAAAGUGUCCCCAGGAGAGAUGGGCUUGACGGAGACCCUGCACACAGGCAGGCAGCUCUCUCCGUGCCGGUGUUUGGAUCAGGCAGAGACAGCUUUUCUCCAUCCCCAGAUUUUCCCAGUCAUGCCCUUUCUCUGCUUGAAGGAUUUGCCUGGGGAGAAUUCGAAGAUCUCCACAAGGUACCUCACAGGAACCUCACAGGUUCCUCACCCUCCAUUGCAUGCUCUGAGACACAAAGCCGGGAUUUACAAGGGAACCAAGAAUUUCCUGCCAAACCUGCCAAAGCAGGAGCUAGCAGGCAGCAUGGCAGGAGCGCUUGCCCAGUGUUCUGGCACAGAUCCAGCGCCUAUGGAAGGAGAUGGGAGAUGUUUUUCUUGGUUCCCCUUGAAUAGCAUUCAGGACAUUUUCUGCCUCUCACCUAUGAUGGAAGGAAUCGCUCAUGAAAUCCUCACACAGUCACCACUACCAGGGACGACCACAGCCCUGCGAAGGCACGAUUCAGAGAAGAGACGGCGUUAUGCCUGGCCUUGCUGCCUGCUGACUAGUGCCAGAUGA
This 678-nucleotide long non-coding RNA is filed under the name Apteryx haastii (Great spotted kiwi). RNAcentral's name for it is "lncRNA (ENSAHAG00000006476.1)". The record is from RNAcentral. Lineage: Eukaryota; Metazoa; Chordata; Aves; Apterygiformes; Apterygidae.